This 579-nucleotide unclassified non-coding RNA is filed under the name Hevea brasiliensis (rubber tree). Lineage: Eukaryota; Viridiplantae; Streptophyta; Magnoliopsida; Malpighiales; Euphorbiaceae. The record is from RNAcentral.
AUCACAAGUUCCUGAAGCCAUUUCUCGUCCAAAAUAAUUAUCACAGCCAUGUCACUUCUACGUACUAUAAAUCAGGCCAUAAUUUUUAUACAAGAUUAUGAUAACCAUACUAUCACUUUAAAAUCAAACUUGUGGUGGCUUGGGGGGACAACAAAAUCUAUAUGUACAUCCAUCAACCAUACUUUUAUUAUGAUCUGCAAUAUUGGCAAGUAAAGUUUUAUCCAAUUAUAUCAGGUUGGCUUUGUAAAUCCUUCUUUGCAGUGAGCUCUGAAAGAAUGACCAUUUCUUCAGUGCAUAUUUAGGAAUGCAACCAUCUUUCUAGUUUGUAUCACAAUUGGCAACUGCCUAGGAGUAGGCCAACAAAACUAGCAGCAGAACACUAACACCUACCUCAAACGAAACAAACAUGGCUCAACAAAACUGACUAUUUCAUAAUAUCACAUCACAAGGCCCUGGUACCAAAUAUCUGCAGAUUUAAAACAGUGCUGUAGCAACCAACACUACAUGCAUCGCAGAGGUCAUUGGCAAUGGUCUGGCACCAAGCUUGCUUCCUAUGUGAACUAGUUCCAAAUGAGCCUG